UACGGGGGGGGCAAGCGUUGUUCGGAAUUACUGGGCGUAAAGGGCGCGUAGGCGGCCCGCUAAGUCGAACGUGAAAUCCCCAGGCUCAACCUGGGAACUGCGUCCGAUACUGGCAGGCUUGAAUCCGGGAGAGGGAUGUGGAAUUCCAGGUGUAGCGGUGAAAUGCGUAGAUAUCUGGAGGAACACCGGUGGCGAAGGCGGCAGCCUGGACCGGCAUUGACGCUGAGGCGCGAAAGCCAGGGGAGCGAACGGG
RNAcentral lists this ribosomal RNA (253 nucleotides) under uncultured bacterium. RNAcentral's name for it is "partial 16S ribosomal RNA". It matches the Rfam family "Bacterial small subunit ribosomal RNA", at positions 524 to 776 of the family's 1533-position model. The record is from RNAcentral.